Molecule: ribosomal RNA, 370 nt
Filed under: uncultured bacterium
Lineage: Bacteria
Description: bacterial SSU rRNA
Rfam family: Bacterial small subunit ribosomal RNA
Source: RNAcentral
AACGAACGCUGGCGGCAUGCCUAACACAUGCAAGUCGAACGAGACCUUCGGGUCUAGUGGCGCACGGGUGCGUAACGCGUGGGAAUCUGCCCUUGGGUCCGGAAUAACUCAGAGAAAUUUGAGCUAAUACCGGAUGAUGACGUAAGUCCAAAGAUUUAUCGCCCAGGGAUGAGCCCGCGUAGGAUUAGCUAGUUGGUGAGGUAAAGGCUCACCAAGGCGACGAUCCUUAGCNGGUCUGAGAGGAUGAUCAGCCACACUGGGACUGAGACACGGCCCAGACUCCUACGGGAGGCAGCAGUGGGGAAUAUUGGACAAUGGGCGAAAGCCUGAUCCAGCAAUGCCGCGUGAGUGAUGAAGGCCUUAGGGUUGU